Molecule: ribosomal RNA, 460 nt
Filed under: uncultured bacterium
Lineage: Bacteria
Description: partial 16S ribosomal RNA
Rfam family: Bacterial small subunit ribosomal RNA
Source: RNAcentral
CCUACGGGAGGCAGCAGUGAGGAAUAUUGGUCAAUGGACGAGAGUCUGAACCAGCCAAGUAGCGUGAAGGAUGACUGCCCUAUGGGUUGUAAACUUCUUUUAUAAAGGAAUAAAACGAGGCACGUGUGCCUUUUUGCAUGUACCUUAUGUAUAAGGAUCGGCUAACUCCGUGCCCGCAGCCGCGGUAAUACGGAGGAUCCGAGCGUUAUCCGGAAUUAUUGGGUUUAAAGGGAGCGUAGGUGGGUUGUUAAGUCAGUUGUGAAAGUUUGGGGCUCAACCGUAAAAUUGCAAUUGAUACUGGCAGUCUAGAGUACAGUUGAGGUAGGCGGAAUUCGUGGUGUAGCGGUGAAAUGCUUAGAUAUCACGAAGAACCCCGAUUGCGAAGGCAGCUUACUAAACUGUGACUGACAUUGAUGCUCGAAAGUGUGGGUAUCAAACAGGAUUAGAUACCCGAGUAGUC